This 400-nucleotide ribosomal RNA is filed under the name uncultured eukaryote. RNAcentral describes it as "SSU rRNA". It matches the Rfam family "Eukaryotic small subunit ribosomal RNA", at positions 567 to 965 of the family's 1831-position model. The record is from RNAcentral.
CCAGCAGCUGCGGUAAUUCCAGCUCCAAUAGCGUAUAUUAAUACUGUUGCAGUUAAAAGGCUCGUAGUCGUAUGUCUGACAUUUCGAAUCCGAUCCGCUGUCGAGUACAGUGUGAUUUCGGUAUUCAAAUGUCAUUUUUUUGAGAUGUCAUUCUGCCUUUGACUAGGUUGGUUUGUCAACUCAGAUCUUUUACUGUGAAUAAAACAGAGUGCUCCAAGCAAGCUCAUGCCUGCAUGUUUUAGCAUGGAAUAAUAAUAUAGGACUUCGAUUCUAUUUAGUUGGCUUUCAGAAUCCAAGUAAUGAUUGAUAGAGAUAGUUGGGGAUGCUAGAAUUUAACGGUAAGCGGUGAAAUGCACAGACCCGUUAAAGACUAACUUAUGCGAAAGCAUUCAUCAAGGAU